UUAUAGAGUAGAUUUUCCAUAUUCAAUUUUCUUGGGCAUCACUCUGAAAACCUCAUCUCCACAUCUCACGUGACUCAAAAAAAUCACUGAUAAUACACAUUUAAGUAGCAUUGGGGUCACACGGUUUGGAGACCCCUUUCUUCCUCUCCAAGCACUUAAUUUAAGUAUCAUACACAUCGACAUAGAGAGGGGCUAGAAUAGACAGACAUACACGAACAGAGAGGGGAAAAGGAAAAAUUUGAUGGCAAAAUUCCCUCCAUCUACACAAAGCUCCACCAAACUUUACCAUAUCUGGAUCAUUUCGGUUCUUUUCACAGACUUUUAACAUGGAAACUACUUAAUUCCAUCACCUCUAUUCAACCAGUGUUUGGACCACAAAUUAACAAAAGUUCCUCCCGUGAACUUUCCUUGACUGCAACACCACCCCUUCUCUAUUUUUAAAGCUCCCCCACCACCGUCCUUUAUCAUUUUCUUUGUCAAAAUUAUCAGUGAAUUAGAAAUCAGAAAUGGGUUGAAUAUUAAGGGUAAAUUUCGGGCUAGAUCUCUAGAUUUGAACUCCAACCGAAGCUGCCGUUAGGGUGGGUAUUGUUCGAGUGCUAUGGUCUGCGGUACCGGUCCAGAUUUGAAAUGCAAUCGAGGUGCUAUUGUCAGUUUUGGUUUCUAGUUCAUCUCUGAGUAACAUUGUUGCUAUAUAGAGAGGUUCUUGCUUAAUCAAAAUCUGGAGAAAACUUUGCUACACAAAAGGUCCAAUUCUUUUCCCUUCUUGCAAUUUCGUUCUCCUAAAUUUGUCGUUUAUUGAAUGACUUUAUGAAUUGUUCUCGUGGUUGAUAUUAUAAUUUGUGUUUUAGUGUAUUCUUAGUAGAGUAGUUGCUAUGUUGGAAUUACUGCUUCUUUAAUUUAGAACAUGGAAAAUGAACUGGUUUUGAAUUGUUGGGUUUAGUUGUGAAAAUUGGAAUUAAAACAGACAUUAUCUUGUAACAAGAAUGGGAUUUAGGUGGAUGUGUAUAGGUCAAAAUCUGCUUUCAUUAAGAUUUGACACGAAGCGAUAUCGUAGAAUGCGAUAUGGUCGAGAUCGAUUAGUAGUUAACGAGACUCGUAGGCGAGUAGUCAACAACGGCCGAGGUCGAGUGUUAACGACUAGUUUUUGUCAUAAAAUAUUCAGAAGAAUAUUCUACUGGUGUCUGUACUUUUAGGGUUGACUAGAGAAUGUCUCAUAUAAAUAGAAAAAUAAAUAGGGAGAAAGGGGAUCCUCUAAGAAGAACAUUCUUGUAAAAUUAGACUUUCUCUCUAGAAAAAAAGAAAAUUGUUACCUUUCUAGAGAGAUUCGAUUGUCUACUAUUCCACUCUUUUUCCACUAGAUCGAAGAAGGGUCACGACAUUCUAGUAUUUUAAUUAUCAUACACCAUUGUCAGAAAGAAGAAUCAUCCACCUCAUUCAAUAUUGGGUGAAUCAUUCUCCUUAUUUAUUUUAAUGUCACUUACCGUCAUUUAUUGCAUAGUAUUCCCCUAUCAUUAACGAUCUCAAAGCAUUGAAUAUACAUCACAUUUAGUUCUCUCUAAACACUGCCCUUACGUGAUUGGUGUUAAUUAGUUUAAUCAAAAGUCUAUAUUUUUUGGUCAAACAAUUUGGCGCCGUCUGUGAGGAUUUCCUAGUCAAAUCUUUAGUUUCCUCUAAAUCUAUAACUAACACAACUCACAAAAAACAAAAGGGAGGAGAGAAGCUCCUAUUUCCUCGUACACCCAGAUCUGACAUGGCAGGUAAGGGAGAAGAAAGAAUGAAGGCAGUGGCCGAUCUCACUACCAACCUCUUAAACACCAUCAAUGAGGUCUCCGAAACAGAAGUCGAAGGCAUAACACCUAACACCUUUCCUCGACGAUGUGGAUCACCCCUACCUCACGACAGUAUCACAACAUCCUGAGGUAAAGAAGCUUCCACGUCCAUAUCGGAAGAGGCACUGCCAGCGGUGAAGCAGCUACUCGUAGCUUGGCUGACAAAUACGCUGACCGGCAUCCUCAGCAAGCCUACUCAGGAGGCAGUUAUAGGAAAUGCAAGGACUUGUAUUACACAAGCAACGACCAAGUAGCACGGACCCCCUCCUUCAGUAACAGGUGUCACUCACGAUAUUAAUAAUGCAGGUAACGACACCCUCACAGCUAUUCUGAGGAUAAUGGAAGAAAUGGAAAACGAAAACAAAAUGCUUCAGGAUCAAAUGAGAGAACACCAAGAAAGAGUCGACAAAAUACUGGGUGCCCCAAAACUCUUGCCAAAAAGAGACACUGAUCGGUUCGUCGAGCAACCCUACAGUGAUGAAGCCACCCCGUAUGCCAUACCCAAGACGUUCAAGAUGCCGCCUUAUAUGAAAAUUUAUGACGGUACGACCGACCCCGAAGAUCAUGUAACUCACUAUGUCACUGCGGUAAAGGGCAAUGAUCUCUCCAAAGAACAAGUCUCCUCCAUCUUGUUGAAAAGGUUCAGCGAGACCCUUACCGGAGGAGCAUUGACUUGGUAUUCACAUAUGCCCGCACGCUCCAUUGAAGCAUUCGAAGAGAUGGUCGACAAGUUCGUAACGGCCCAUGCUGGGGCUAAAAAGGCGGAGGCAAGAGUGAACGAUAUAUUUGCCAUCAAACAUUCACCUGGAGAGGAUUGAGGGACUUCCUCGCUCGAUUCAACAGGGUAAAGAUGACCUUACCGAAUGUAUCAGAAGGAAUGACUGUAGCAUCUUUCUAGAACGGGCUGAACAGGAAUUGCUCGAGGGCGACUAGAAAACUAUUAAACUAGCUUAUGAAAUAUCCUCCAACCACUUGGGAUGAAAUACACAACGCUUACUGUGCUGAAGUCCGUGCCGACGAAGACGACCUGAAUGGACCGACUCAUCGAUUGACCUCGGUAUGAGCCAAAAUCAGGUAGGAUCGAAGACAUGAUGCCAAGAGAGAUCUUGCAACUCCACGAUCCAACCGAGAGAUGCAUCAACCAUAUGUCAAAAGCGACAUCAUGCCCCUCUCUUGGCAUGAAGAGGGCCCAUUUAGGCCAAGGACUAGGACUCACCGGAACGAGAGAGGUAUGCCCCAUUUACUAUCUGCUCACAAUUUUUAUGUGUCACCCUCAGAAAUAGUCCAUGCAUUGGAGAAACUCGGACCAAAAGUAAAGUGGCCACAAAAGAUGAGGUUAGAUCCAAGCACUAGAAAAUCAGACAACGUUUGCGAGUUCCACCAAGAGCGAGGUCACAAAAGUGAGGACUGCAUCGCCCUAAGACAGGAGGUCGUGAACAUGCUUCAUCAAGGACACCUCAAAGAACUGUUGAGCGACCGAGGAAGGAUCAACUUUGCCCGAGGACGCGAACACCAGAGACCGCCAAAACUACCCUCACCGACACACACCAUUCAAAUGAUCAUCGGGGGCAGCGACGAUGUUUCGAUCAACAUCUUGAAGUUUGCCACAACCCACAAGCUCAAACAGUCAAUCACUCACGAACGGUAGGACGAACUCGAAGAAAGUAUCAUUUUCCAUAAGUCAGAUACCCACAGUUUGAUCUUCCCUCACUAUGAUGCCCUUGUUAUCACUUUACGAAUAUUAGAUACAAAUGUAAGAUUCAUUAUGGUGGACGAUGGGAGCGGAACGUGCAUUGUCCAUCCUAGAUUACUUGCACAAAUAAAACUCGAGGAUAAGAUAGUACCGCGCUGCAUCACACUAAUGGGUUUUAACAAUGCAGUUGAACGAACAUCUGGGAAAAUCACACUCCCCGUCCUGGCCGGCGGCGUCACUCUAGAAACCACAUUCCACAUCAUGGACCAGGAUACAAUGUAGAUUGUCGUAAUAGGUCGACCUUGGAUACAUGCCAUGAGGGUUAUCCCUUCCAGCUUGUACUAAGUUAUCAAAUUUCUAACCCCAUGGCCAUGGGGAGUAUUCAGCAUACGAGGAGAACAUCACACAUCUCGAGAAUGCUAUCGCAUCACUCAGGAUUGUACGUACACCCAACAAAUAAAGGGUAAAGCAGAGGAUGCAUAGAAAUAAAUUGAGUCGAGGUCGAGCUGUGAUGAAAAGGCGGACGUCAUUAGAGAUCCCGAAGCAAUAGAUGACACAGGAUCAGUCGUCGAAUACCUUGACCCCGUCGAACUUGAUGAAAACGACCACAGCAAGAAAUCCUACGUCGGCUGCAAGCUUCAAGAACCAGGUAAAUUCCUUCAAUUCUUAACUGCUAACGCGGACUUGUUUGCUUUUUCCCAUGCAGACAUUCCAGGUAUCCCGAAGGAGGUCGCCACACAUAAGUUGAACGUCGACCCGUUCUACCCCCGGUAAGGCAGGUUAGACAAAAGUUCAAUUUCGCAAUAAACGAUGCAGUCCGUGAUGAGGUUGUAAAAUUGUUAGAAAACGGCUCCAUCAGGGAACCAAAAUAUCCCCAGUGGGUCGCCAAUGUGGUCAUGGUAAAAAAGAAGAACGGAAAGUGGCGUAUGUACGUAGACUUCACGGAUUUAAACAAAGCAUGUCCCAAAGAUUCAUUCCCGCUACCACACAUCGACCAAAUCAAUGACGUAGCGGUCGAGCAUGAACUGUUGAGCUUCUUAGAUGCCUACUCGGGCUACAAUCAAAUCCUUAUGGAAGAGGAGGACCAGGAGAAGACCACCUUCAUCACCCACCAAAGAACGUACUACUACAGGGUGAUGCCCUUCGGACUGAAAAAUGCAGGGGCGACAUACCAAAGGUUGGUGACCAAAAUGUUUAAAGACCAACUUGACAAGACCAUAGAGGUCUACAUAGACGACAUGUUGGUAAAGUCCAAAAAGAAAGAAGAUCACUCGACCACGUGAAAAGAGGCCUUCGACAUACUCAGGCGAUAUGGGAUGAAACUAAACCUUGAGAAAUGUGCGUUUGGAACUUCAAGAAAGUUCCUGGGCUUCCUUGUAUCAGAAAGAGGCAUUGAGGUAAAUCCUGACCAAAUCAAAGCCAUUGAGGGAAUACCAGAACACUUGACCAGCAAAAAACAAGUUCAGAAGCUGACCGACCGCAUCGCCGCCUUGUCGAGAUUCAUCUCACGAUCAUAUGAUAGAUGCCACAUGUUUUUUGGCGUGCUCAAGAAAGACAACGACCUCCUAUGGACAUCCGAGUACGUUCAAGCCUUGAAGGAGUUAAAAGCCUACCUAUCAUCACCACCGUUACUUGCCAAAGCAGAACCAGGGGAACGUCUGCUCGUCUACCUCGCCGUAUCUGAAGUAGCAGUGAGUGUAGUCCUAGUCCGAGAAAACAAAGGUACGCAAUCCCCUAUCUAUUACAUUAGAAAAACCUUAGUCGACGCCGAGACGAGGUAUCCCUACCUCGAAAAACUAGCACUGGUCUUGGUCAUAGCUUCACGCAAGCUUAGACCCUACUUCCAAUACCAUCCGAUCUCGGUAAUCACGACUUUCCCCUUAAGAAGCAUCUUGCAUAAGCCCGAACUAUCAAGAAGAUUAGCUAAGUGGGCCAUAGAAUUGAGCGAGCAUUACAUCACAUAUCAACCGCGGAUGGUGAUAAAAUCACAAGUCCACGCCGACUUCGUCGCCGACUUCAGCGCAAAAAUAAUGCUCGAAGUUGAAAAAGAAUCCACCCACGCUUCUCCGCGAGCACAAAAUCUAUGGAUUUUGUACACCGAUGACGACUACAAUGCGUUAGGGGCCGGAAUGGGAGUUGUACUUGAAGUCCCUACGGGAGAAGUGGUUCUCCAGUCCAUAAGAUGACCGUACAUGACUAACAAUGAGGUCGAGUAUGAGUCAGUGAUUGCAGGGUUAAGGCUAGCGCUCAAGUACAGGGCGAGACGGGUCAUCCUACGGUGCGAAUCUCAACUCGUCGUCAACCAAGUCAUAGGGACUUUCCAGAUCAAAAAGCAAAGGUUACAAAAAUACCAGGCCGAGAUCCGCAGACUAUUGCCCGAGUUCGACGAGUGCCAGUUCGACCAAAUCCCUCGAGCACAAAAUAUCGAAGCAGACGACCUCGCCAAAUUAGCGGCAAUGACUAAAAGCAUAACCGGAGAAGGAAACGUGGUCACCCUCCUUCACUCAUCGAUAGACCAAAUCGUGGUAAGGACCAUAAAUCUAAUCUGGGAUUGGCACAACCGUAUUGUUACAUACUUCCAGGAUGGUGUACUCCCAGAUGAUAAAAAGGAAGCCAAGAAGCUCCGGAUGCCAGGUACAACAUCAUUCACAACGACCUAUACAAAAGGACGUAUGGUGGCCCCCCAGCGAAAUGCUUAGGCCCAAAUCAGACACGACGCAUACUGGAAGAAAUCCACGAAAGCCACUGCGGGGCUCACUCAGGAAAUCGAGCUCUGAUCAGAUGUCUCAUACGGGAAGGUUACUACUGGCCUACCAUGAAAACGGAGGCCUCAGACUUCGUAAAACAAUGCGAACAAUGCCAAAAAUAUACCCCAAUGAUCCAUCAAAUGAGCGAGCAUCUCCACUCGGUCACCUCUCCUUGGCCUUUCAUCAAGUGGGGAAUGGACAUCGUCGACCCUUUUCCUGCGAGGCGAGGUAACAUACUACUAUUUCUUUUGGUUUUAACUGACUAUUUUUCAAAAUGGGUAGAAGGAGGAGCAUUUUCCCAAAUACGCGAACAUGAAGUGAUCGUCUUCAUAUGAAAAAAUAUUGUGUGCUGCUUCGGCCUCCCCAAAGAGUUCAGUUGCGACAACGGACCCCAAUUCACUGGAAAAAAGGCCGACGAAUUUUUCGAGAAGUGGCAUAUUAUCACGACCCAAAAUUCAACUAGUCGUAAUGGAAUAUAACCCCAACCCGCUGGGUAAGCCAAUUAACAAUAGCCAAUUCCAAUGAAAUUAAUAAAAUAAUUAAAUAGAAGAGAUUAUCUGAAUCUUAUACAUUCUCCAAGGAUUGGUAGUACAAAUCAUGAGCUUCUAAGAAUAGAAUUUACAAAGUUGGUAUGAAAUAAAUACAUCAUCUGUUCGAAAAGUACAUAAACAGAGUUUUAUGAAUCUAAGGCUACCAUGAACAAGAGGCAGCUGCAACCGGAACACAAGUACGUCUUCAAGUCCAACUCCCAUUGAACACAACAUCAUCAUUAGUCAACAUCUGCACGCAAGGUGCAGAAUUGUAGUAUGAGUACAACCGACCCCAUGUACUCAAUAAGUAACAAACCUAACUUAGGUUGAAAGUAGUGACGAGCUAGAACAAGGUCGGGUCCAGCACUAAUAACCAACAACAGUUCGUAACAACAUAAAGCAAGUAAUAAAAUACGUAAUUCAGAGAUGAAUUACUCAGCUUAUUCAUAGUUUCCCGAAAAAUAGUUCCGCCUUUCUAGUAUAUCAGUGAAAAUCCAAGUCAUUUACCGAAGUUGCCAAAAGUAUGACUAAGUGUGAAAACAGUAAUUUUCCCAAAAAUCCUCUCAACAAUAAAUAAUAUGUUUCAUUGUUUUUCCAGAUAGCCAAUAUAAAAUGCAUCCCUAUGCCCAUAUUCCAAUAUGUGUGAGAAGUCAUGAAUGACGUGAUUCCAUACAACAUGAGGAAAAUACAUCUCUAUGCCUGUAUAUCAUGCGUGCAUGUUAAUGCAAUGUAUCUUACAGAUGAACUCAUGUACUCACACUCUCCGAGUACUCAAUCUUACUGGCUCACACUUUCCACUCAUCAUGCUCAAUCACUUAGUACUGUAUAUGGCCAAUCCGGCCCAGGGAAGAUCCAUCCUGGAAAGUAUACACCAACUGAUGAUCAGUAACUCAGUACUGAGUAGGGCCAAUUCAGCCCGUGGGGAAGAUCUAUCCCUAGGUAUAAAUGCUUCGGACAAGAUCCAUGUCCAGGGAAGAUCCAUCCCUCAAUAUAAAUGCUUCGGACAAGAUCCAUGUACAGGGAAGAUCCAUCACUCAACAUAAAUCAACCGCGCUUACUGGGGGUGUGUACAGACUCCGGAGGAGCUCCUUCAACCCAAGCGCUAUCAUAAAUCAGUAUAACCACUACAGCAUGCAGCGCGAUCCCAUAAUGUCACUCAAAAUUAGGCCCUUGGCCUCACUAAGUCAUCAAUCUCUCCAGCCUCUCUUUCGGGGCUCAUAAUGUCAUGAAACUAGCCCGAAAAUGAUAAUAUGAUGUAUCGAUAAAUAGCAACAGAGACUGAGAUAUGAUAUGCAUAUGAAUGUGUAUGACUGAGUAUGUAAUGCAAUGAAAGCAGAUAACUCAACAACAGAAAUGACCUCAGUGGGUCCCAGCAGGAUAAACAUGUAGCCUAGAUAUGGUUUCUAACAUGGAUCACAACUCAAUAACUUAAGAACGUAGAAAUUUCAUGGUUACAGGUAAGAUUAGAUAACUACACAGUACCACAAAAUAAUAGAGUCACAAAUCACAUAGUGCACGCCCACACGCCCGGCACCUAGCAUGUACGCCACCUCAACAUCGACCACAUAACACGUAAUUCGGGGUUUCAUACCCUCAGCACUAAGUUUAGAAGUGUUACUGACCUCGAACAAGCCAAUUCCAAUACCGAGCAAGCCAAGCGAUGCUCCAAAAUGCCAUCUCACGCAUACCGACCUCCGAACGACUCAAAGUUAGCCAAAAGCAACUCAAAUACAUCAAAUAAAGCCCAAGGAAACAAUUACAAAUGAUAAAGAUAGAAUCCUUAAUCAAAACCCAAAACCGGCCAAACGUCACACCCGGGUCCGCGCCUCGAAACCUGACAAAACUCACAAAAUCAGACAACACAUUCAAUUACGAGUCUAACUAUACUAGUUUCAUUCAAAUCCGACUCCGAUUCGGUAUUUAAAAUUCAAAAAUCCAUUUUAUGAAACUUUAGGCUAAAACCCCAAUAUCUCUUUAAAAUUCAUCAACCAAUUGCCAAAAAUGAAGAUAGAUUCGUGGAAUAAGAUCAAACCCAAGUGUAGAAUACUUACCUCAAUCCUUGUGAUGAAAUUUGCUCCAAAAAGUGCCUCAAUCCGAGUCCCACAUCUCAAAAUAUGAAGAAAAAACUAAAACCCUCGAUUUAUAGCUUCUACCAGCAUUUUUGCAUUUAUCGGCGUCGCUUUUGCGACAUAACCUCCACUUCUCCGGAAUCGGCUAAGAACUCGACCCCCGCACCUGCGGACAAAAUAUCCGCUUCUGCGAUAUCGCAGGUGCGAGCCACCAUCCGCACCUGCGAAAUACCUCGCUCCUGUGCUCCAUCACUUCGCACUUGCGCAUCCACAUAUACGCCCAAAUCUCCGCUUCUACGGUCUUCCUAACCCAACACUCACCUCAUCUUUGUGACGCCUUUUUUGAUUCUGCGGCCAUCGCACCUACGCAAAACCAGCUGCAGGUGCGAUCACACAAGAACUAGCAGCCUUCAGUAAUGCACUAUGCAACGAAAGUGAUCCGAACCUCGUCCGAAACUCAUCCGAGCCACUCGGGACCCCAUCCGAAUAUACCAACAAGUCUAAUAACAUAAUACAGACCUACUCGAGGCCUCAAAUCACGCAUAACAACAUCGAAUCGCACCUCAAAUCAAACUUAAUGAACUUUGAACUUUUCAACUUCCAAAACUCGUGCCGAAAUAUAGCAAAUCAAUCCGGAAUGAACCCAAAUUUUGCACACAAGCCCCAAAUGACAUAACGAAGCUAUUCCAACUCCCGAAAUCACAACCUGAACCCGAUAUCCACAAGUCAACUCUUGGUCAAACUUUUGAACUUUUCAAACCUCCAAAUUCCCAAUUUUCGCCAAUUUAUGCCGAAACCUUCUAGAAAUAUCCAAAUGCGAAUUCGAGCAUAUUUUCGAGUCCAAAAUCACUAUUCGGACCUAACGAAACCAUCAAAACUCCGUUCUAGGGUCAAAUUCACAAAAAGUCAAACUUGGUCAACUCUUUAAAACUUAAAGCUUCAACAAUGAAAUUCAUUCUUCCAAAUCGAUUCCGAGUAACCUGAAAACCAAAACCGACCGCAUGAGCUAAAGGAGCCGUAUAUGUGGGUGAGAGGUCGCUUCUGCGAUGCCGCAAAAGCGGAAGUGCUGGCAGAACAGUUAAAUACAAGUGUUCGCGAUUUUGCUUUAUUUUAAACAUUUUGAGCUCGGGUUCUGGCAAUUCUUGAGAGGAUUUUUUUAGGGGAUUCUUGAGGUAAGUCCCUUGUGCUAAUUUUUGUUUAAUAAACUUUCUUCUCCAUUGAUUUCCCACCUAGUUGGUGUGUAUUUAAGGUGUAAAUUUAGAGUUUGAGGGUUAGGGAUUUUGAGAGUUUGAUUUGGGGAUUUGGAUUCUGAUUUGCUGUCGGAUUUUGAUAAAUUUGAUAUGGUUGGACUCGUGAUUGAAUGGGCUUUCGGGUUUCGUGACUUUUAUCGAAUUUCGAGACAUAGGCCGGGGGGCGGCUUUUGAGUCGAUUUUUUACUUUUGCUUAAUACCUUAGCAUUUUCUUAUGGAAUCGAUUCCUUUAGCCCGUAUUGGUUAUAUCAAAUUGUUUAUGGCUAGAUUCGAGGCAUUUAGAGGCCGUUUCCUGAGGCAAGGGCGUGUUGGAGUAAGGAUUUACUAGGAUUGAGGUAAGUAACAAUUCUAAAUUUGGUUCUGAGGGUAUGAAACCCUAGAUUAUGUGUUAUGUGAUUGGUUUUGAGGUGACGCACAUGCUGGGUGACAGGCGUGCACCGUAGGAAUUGUGACUUGGUCAAUUCCAUAUAACCGUGUAGUUGAAUAAUCUAUUAUUUUUCGUAUAUUUGUUUUUCACGUAUUAAAGGAAUUGAACUGCAAAUCAUGUUUAGACCAUGUGUUGACACUGUAGGGACCCACAUAGGUCGUGUACAUGCCGAAUUAUCUGCUAAAUUGUUGUUUUGUAUUUAGUCACAGUUUUACUUGCAUAUUAUGUCUCAGUCUCUAUUGUUCAUUAUUGAUGCAUUAUAGCAUUGAUGUUUGGGCUGAUUAUCAUGAGUUCCGAGAGCCUGAGAGACUGGAGAUAUUGAUGACUGAGUGAGGCCUAGGGCCUGAUUGUGAGGAUAUUUAUGGGAUCGGGCUGCACGUCACAGCAUGCUUUAUUGAUAUAUGCCAUUAUUGGCUUGUUAUAGUUCUUGGGUUGAAGGAGCCCCUCCGGAGUCUGUACACACCCCUGUGAGCGCAGGUACCUACUGAGUGAGAGUGCAGAGUGCCGAGAGCCGAGUGCCGAGUGGUGAGUGACUGAGGGGAUGGAGUGACUGUGAGGAAUGAGUGAUUAUGAGGUUGGAGUGAAUGGGAGGAUUGGGUGACUGCUGCUCGGUGAGGAUACAUUUAACUUCAUUAUUGUUACACUUCUGCUGUCAUAUACACUGUCUUGAAAUUUCUUAGAGAUAUUCUCUUCCGUUUCAAAUAAACUUGACAUGAAAUAACUGUUUUGGACUUAUUUGCGGAACUUGAAAUCAUGCUUACCUUCCUAUGUGGAAAUUACUGUAAUUGAACUUAACUAUGAAGCUCAUCACUACUUCAGUUCUUUAUUUAGUAUUGUUACUUACUGAGUUGGUUGUACUCACGCUACACCCUACACUUCGUGUAUAGAUCCAGAUGUUUCCGGACACAGUGGGUGUUGAUUUCAUCGACAGUUGAUCUUUUGGGAGAUUCCAAGGUAGUUGUCCGGCUUCGCAGGCCAUGUCUCUCCUUCCCUAUCUUCCUGCUUAUUGUAUUUAGUUUCAGACUAUCAUAGACAGUAUUUUGUUUUCCAGACUUGUGAUGUAUAGAUGCUCAUGUACACUGUGACACCCCGAUAGUUGGGAACUUUCGCGUUGUGUUUUGGGUUUCUAUCCCUUUUUUUUGAGAAAUUUUAUUAUUUAAACUACUUUAAUUCAUUUUCUAUUAAAGGUCUUGGAAUUAUU
Molecule: long non-coding RNA, 11746 nt
Filed under: Nicotiana tabacum (common tobacco)
Lineage: Eukaryota; Viridiplantae; Streptophyta; Magnoliopsida; Solanales; Solanaceae
Description: long non-coding RNA (NTAB_LNC005967)
Source: RNAcentral